Mastomys coucha (southern multimammate mouse) is the source of this 135-nucleotide small nucleolar RNA. RefSeq annotates it as small nucleolar RNA SNORA24. The record is from RefSeq and is a predicted model, not a curated record. The transcript has a single exon. NCBI's taxonomy places the organism in Eukaryota, Metazoa, Chordata, Mammalia, Rodentia, Muridae.
CUCCAUGUGUUUUUGGGACCCGUCUUCUGUGGCCAUCUUCCCUUUCUACACAGUCACAGAAGAGCAUGUUUUUGUUUUUGACAAAGCUGUCACUGUUUAGUUGCUACCAGCUUCUGAUUUGCACAGAUAACAGUU